GAAAGGGAGAGUAACGCGUGGAUGACCUACCCCCGAGUCCGGGAUAGCUGCGGGAAACUGCAGGUAAUACCGGAUAACAUCUCCGGAUCAAAGGUGUGAUUCCGCUUGGGGACGGGUCCGCGUCCUAUUAGCUUGUUGGUGGGGUAACGGCCUACCAAGGCAACGAUGGGUACCGGGCGUGAGAGCGUGGCCCGGCUCACUGGGACUGAGACACUGCCCAGACACCUACGGGUGGCUGCAGUCGAGAAUCUUCGGCAAUGAGCGCAAGCUUGACCGAGCGACGCCGCGUGCGGGAUGAAGGCCUUCGGGUUGUAAACCGCUGUCAGAGGGGAGGAAAUGCUGUGGGGUUCUCCCUGCAGUUUGACCUAUCCUCAGAGGAAGGACGGGCUAAGUUCGUGCCAGCAGCCGCGGUAAGACGAACCGUCCAAACGUUAUUCGGAAUCACUGGGCUUAAAGGGUGCGUAGGCGGUCCGGCAAGUUGGGUGUGAAAUCCCUCGGCUCAACCGAGGAAUGGCGCUCAAAACUGCCGGACUUGAGGGAGACAGAGGCGAGCGGAACUUAGGGUGGAGCGGUGAAAAUGCGUUGAUAUCCUAAGGAACACCUGUAGCGAAAGCGGCUCGCUGGGUCUCUUCUGACGCUCA
Molecule: ribosomal RNA, 641 nt
Filed under: uncultured bacterium
Lineage: Bacteria
Description: bacterial SSU rRNA
Rfam family: Bacterial small subunit ribosomal RNA
Source: RNAcentral